GACGAACGCUGGCGGCGUGCUUAACACAUGCAAGUCGAACGGAAAGGCCCUGCUUUUGUGGGGUGCUCGAGUGGCGAACGGGUGAGUAACACGUGAGUAACCUUCCCUUGACUUUGGGAUAACUUCAGGAAACUGGGGCUAAUACCGGAUAGGAGCUCCUGCUGCAUGGUGGGGGUUGGAACGUUUCGGCGGGUGGGGAUGGACUCGCGGCUUAUCAGCUUGUUGGUGGGGUAGUGGCUUACCAAGGCUUUGACGGGUAGCCGGCCUGAGAGGGGGACCGGCCACAAGGGGACUGAGAGACGGACCAGACGGCUACGGGGGGCAGCAGGGGGGAAUAUGGAACAAUGGGCGGAAGCCUGAUGCAGCAACGCCGGGUUCGGGAAGAAGGCCUUCGGGGUGUAAACCGCUUUCGCCUGUGACGAAGCGUGAGUGACGGUAAUGGGUAAAGAAGCACCGGCUAACUACGUG
This 468-nucleotide ribosomal RNA is filed under the name uncultured bacterium. RNAcentral's name for it is "partial 16S ribosomal RNA". It matches the Rfam family "Bacterial small subunit ribosomal RNA", at positions 28 to 507 of the family's 1533-position model. The record is from RNAcentral.